AACAUUGCAGAUGGUGUACAAAGAUGGAGAGUGCAUGUGGAAGUACCAAGCAGCAGCGUUUUAACAAGCGCUCAUAGCAAGGAAGCAAACAGAACUGAUGAGGGGCUGGUCUUGCACCACCAGAUCUGCAACCUGUCACAGCUCAGCAUGCCCUUCCUGAACUUGUCACAAACCACUAAUUUAAAUUAACAAUCAGGCUGAAAUAAUCUAUCUGUGUAAACACGAAUACACCCUAGCUGAAAAUGAGCAGCAUUUAAAGGCAGUUAAAAAUAAUACGGACCCUAAACAAACCCAAAGCACGGGGUAAUUCACCCCUUGAGCAAGUCUGCUUUAGGAAGAACAACUGAGUUCAGGUGAAUUAAUACCAGAAUGAUUUCCUCUCCAGAUUCCUAUGCAUAGACCAAAGACAAUAGGAGAAACACGGCACAUGUAACCAACGAACAUAUUUUAUUAUUUAAUUAUGCAAAGUGCACGAGGACACGUUCACACCUCCUAACUCAGGAUUCUGAAGGCGCCACCUUCAUCCUAACCUCGCAAUGAUUUGUUACACUGGAAUCAGGAGCUUAUUAAAAAUUCAUUAACUGCAAUGUGCUAUUGGCACUGUCAUUCUGCAGAGAUCUUUUAACCCAAAGGAAGGUUUGCGCUAGGAUAAUUACAGUUGUACUGUAUUAAAAUACAAGAGUAAUGGCUAUAUAGAGCCAUCCACUGGCUGAUGAUUAAAGCAUCCAGACUGCUAAUGACAGCUUGCAUUCAGCUUUGUCUCGUAGCUUUCCAGAUGCAGUAUUUCAAGAUGACAAUGCAGAUUUCAAGAUGACAAACAAACCCACACAGAAACUGAAUACAGAAUCAACAUGUUCUGAAGUUCAGGAGUCAAUAUGGAAGACCUGAGAGUUUUUGUUUUGUUAUUUUAAUCUUACAGGUUAUUCCCCCCAACCCCCAGUAAAUCUUGUUAGAGCUUAAGCCAUAGAACAACUAGAAGAAAAUCACUUUGAUAAUGCCUGAUCUCAACAAAAGGUUCCAACUCCAUUCUUUACUGCUAUAACAAAACGUAUCAGUCUCCUUUUCUGAGAAGCUGUAUAGGCAUUAGCCCUGUAGUUGCCAGGAGGAAUAUCUGAGAUCAGUGUUCUAGUUUCCAUUUCAGAUGGAAAACAAAGUGCAUAAAUUAUAGACCUGAAUAUAUACCCCAUUGUCAUUGGCUAUGUGUGACAGUUAAACAGCCAUAACAAGUGGCAAGUAUCAGCAGAGGACAGUUUCCCAUCACCUACAGCACAAACUACCUCCACCCUCGGCUUUCAGCCCUGUCUAUGCAGCCCGCUGCAGCUCCUGGGGCUGAAGUGUCACUGCAGCUGUGAGCUCCGUGUCCCCUGCCCUCCCACUGCCUGCUAUACUCCCAUACCCAGUGCUAGCACAAGAUUUUUGUGUGGCCUUGUGGUGAACCUUGCUGUUGCAGCCGCCUGGGAGAAACAAGACCUUUUUUUCCAGCUGACUUUCCUGCAUGGAUGUGCAACGCCUGUGCUGGCACCAUGCACGGGCAGCCUGGGGGCAGGAGCAAGGAGCUGCAGUGUGGGGGCAGUACCACCACUGAACCAGCUCAUGCUGCCCAAAAUGCAACUAAGGCUCAAGUGAGACCCUUUCACUCGUCAGGGUGCUGGUUUUUCUUGACGAAAACGCAGCACUGUUCUGUCAGUCCUUAGAAAAAACAAAGCAGAUGACUAAAAAUAAAGUAUGACUGAACCAAAAUGGAAAAUGUUUGUAGCAGAAGGAAAAUAAGUGAAGAAACUCCAUGACAACUCAUACUGAAGACUGAUUCUUACUUUUUUCCAGAUGUGUAGAGCACUGAGAAGUAACUAUUGACAAUUUUCCUCCAUUACUUGCAAACGGAACUUUUAAGAUGCAAGCUGAAAACUAUGCGUUACAUUAUUAUAAACCUUUAAUUUAUUCUCUGCGGGCUGUGGAUCUGCUGAUUCAGACGGCUCCAGUCUGCUCCUCUAACCACUAACCCCAUCCUUCGGGGCUGACUGGCAUGUGGCGUGUUGCUGAGAGCCCGGGUAAUUCAGCAUGCAGCCGGGCUGCUCCCAGGCUUGGUGUAACACGCUCCUCUCUGUGCACACCGAUGUAACCCUAUAAAUGCGACAGCUAAUCUGAAUAUGCUGACAAACUAUUUUAUAACUAAAUAUUCGCCUAUCUCCCACCUAUGGUGCGUGACUGAAAUGCAACCUUAACAUGAAGUAAAUGCCUGAUUCUCUCACCCCAGUGCUGCUUUCGUGCUUUGCCAACUGUGAUUUUGGGAGUGCUUUCCACCUGCAAAUAGCAGAACAAGUAGGCAUUCACCAGAAGAGGAAAGAGCUGUUUUUCAGAGAAAUAUUGCCCCAAAGUGAACCUCGGAGCAGUGGGAAGGGCAGUUUGCCCCCUGUGCAUGUAACACUCCAGGCACAGGCUGAGGAAGAAGGGCAGUAGGGCAGUAGCUGUGACAGCACAGCAGCGGUACUGCUCUGCCCCCCGCUCAGGAGCAGUCCCCUUGACAGACAGUGCUCUUCCCUUCCUCGGGAAUAUCAGCGACAACCUGCAGUGCUUCUGGGGAGGAACACGUAACACCUCUUGUGUGGGUAGUGACCGCUGUAGCCAAGGAGAGUAAAAAAUGGCACGGCGUGGUGUGGUGUGAGCCACUGCUGGCCUAGGGGAGGUCAGACCUGGCUUAGGGAAGAGGAUCAGGAGCCCAGAUCCCGGGGGGUGGAAACAGGCAAACUGGUCAGGAAUGAAAAUGCUCCCUCUUGAGAGCUGGGGACCAGCUCUAGCAGAGCACUGUCCCGGGGCUCAGGGCUUGUCCUGCUACCUAUGACAUGCCGUAAGCACAGCCACACUGCCUCUCCUGCCCCAUGGGAUAACCUGGUAGCAUCAGAGGCUCCCAGCGGCUCAGGGAGCUGAGCACUUGGACAGAACAGAAGUCUCCUGUUAAGUGGCACAAGCUCAGCUGUGGUAUGCUAGUGAGGAAAUCCCUUCAUCUUUACAAUUCUUCUAAUUUCACUACAGGAGUAGGCAAACACCCUGCAGAAGGAAAAAAAAAAAAAAAAAAAAAAAAGACAUCUAGACAGCGCAGUGUUUUUCCAUAUCACACUGUGCCGCCCUCUCCUACACUUACUACAACGUGACUUAAAGCUUCCCCAUGUAAAAAACAAACCGCUGCAUUCUGUGCCUUAAUUCUUCUACUGCUACAUGUGUUUCACCUUGCUGACAGGCAUGACCCUACAAUUUUAAGAUCUAGUCAGGGUAAACUUAGGCACAUACACAUGGAUGUAGAUGCUCUCUUCCCCCAAGGCACACGGUCUAAUUAAAACAGACAACAAAGUCUAAGUCAAUUUUUUAAAGCAGUUGGAUUCCAAUGAAAACAAGCCCAACCCUGAAGCCCAGCACUAACAGUUUUCCUUUUGAGUGGGACUGUUUUCUCUCUCAGGCAUAAAACCCCUCAUUCAGGCUCUGCACAUUCGUUAGAAGCCCAAGUACAACUGGUCCAGUGUAGUCAGGGCAAUGCCCUGCUGUUUGGUGCGGUGGCACCCAGGGCGUGUAGGAAUACUUUUACCAGGGCGGCUUGCACACAGAGGGAAAAAACAAGCUCACUGUAACCCUAAAUAAGAUGUGCCUAAGCUGACUGAAAUCUCCAGCAGGGGCUGCAUGGGUUUCACAGUUCCCUAGAAAUGGGAGGAGGCAGAUAGGGAGAAAGACUGGUAUAGCCUCAUACUUGGUGGAUAUAGACAUGAGCCAGAACGGUUAGUGACAGCCUCCUAGAAUGCAGGGAGAGGCUCAGGAUUCCUGAAAGAUAACAGGAAAGCAAAUUAAGGUGGUAGAGAUCUUUUUCCACAAAGGAAAUAUUUUCUUUAUGCUCUCAGAUUCAUUGAUGUUGCUUGCAAUGAAGAUACGCUGUGUUAGAACAACCAACAACUGAAAACUGAAAAUGCUCGCAGCACUUUAACAACCAACUUUAUUUUGCAUUAUGCUAGCUGAGAGCCAGCGAGCUGCUCUAUAAAUAAGCAACUACUGUAAGCUAUGAAGCUAAUGUUCAACCUGCAUACUCUGACCAGUGGUAAAUUCACUGAUAAGAGAGAGAUGUGGCUGUUUAUAGGUGAGCAAAAUCUGCACAUUAAGCUUUAGAAAAACAGCCACACCCAAAUAGUACGAGGAACCUUUGAAGCUCAGUCUUGUGAGGGACGCUUGCUUUUAUAGCCUGAGCUGUGCAUUGGACUUUUCUCAGAAAUUUCCGGCAGUACUAAGCUCCAUUCCUGGAAUAAACUCUACUGGAAUCUCCAGCAGUGUGCUUGGCAGGGAGCACGCAGCUUGUCAAACGCGAACCACUCCAAGAACGCGACCGGCGAUGCACGGCAGCCACAGCCUGUCAUCUCCCUGUGUUCGGCUGUGUUUUCACACAAUGCACACAGGAAGAAAUCUUUAAUUCAGACACAACUGCCAACUCAGAGAAAGGUGAUGUCGUGCUACCAGCAUUCCCUUAUGAGAGCUGAGCAAAUGGUUGAGGCAGCUGAAAACGCACCUGCACGGGGCUCUCCCUGCCUCACCGCCAGGCUGAGGCUGUCUGCUGCAGUCAGCACGAAGACCGCCUGUUUCUCCACUGCUCCCACCUGCUGGCUGUAGCUCUGGCUGCGACUGCUGCUGCAGACAUUCCUAAGAGCAUGCAAAACGACGUUUUCUGGGAGCUCACAGCAGUGACAUCCACAUACCGGUCCUUCUGCAGAAUAAAGCCAGCGUGAUUUUGGCAUUUUGAUAAAGGGCAUCCCCUCUCAUCCCCACAAGCUGGCAGGUUUGUGGUGCUUCUAAGAGGCCCCUGCAGCAUCCUUCCAGCUGCAGUCACUGACAGGCUCCUCGUGUGUCUCCAGCCACCACCGUGCUCCCAGACGCCCUUUUCUGUGACUUAAUCUUGGAUGACUAUCAAAGGAAACUCAGAAAGCUUCCAAUCCAUGUAGGCUCAUAGCCAAAUGCACCAUUUAAAUGUGACUGCCCUAGGGCCUGCCCAUCAGUUGCAUCUAAAUACGGUAGAGACCAGACACCGACAGAAAAGCCUGGCGCACAACUUGCUCUCUGGGGGUACAGCUAAAGGGCAGGCAGCACCACCUACACAUCUGCGAGGGCCCCAGCACAGAUACUGAAGUUCCUCAAAACCUGAUAUGUGUCUUUGAAGCUGUGCUUGUGAAAGGCUGAAAGCUGCACAGUGUGAACAGUGGAGAACCUGAAUACUCGGAGAUGAUUCCUGGGUGCAAGACAUUUCAGAAAGGCUUGACACGCGGCUUACUGAUGACCGCAAAGAGACAGAAAAGGAGAGGCACGUAUACAGAGAACUGCCUCCAGCCUGAAACCCAGAUCAUCAGUUACAGCAGCGGUCUGAGGAGACACCACACAGCCCUCUAUACUAGCACAGGAUUUUUGCUCAGCAAUAGCAAGCCUUGGUGAAAUCAGGGCAUGGCAAAUGAAGGGAUCCCUAAAGAUCCACCAGGUAGGAAGGAAGAGCAUCCCAGAAAGUUAAGGAAAACUAGAAGUAUGAACUGAAGGCAUAAAAACAGAGCAUUUCAACGCUUUUAUGAACACUCAGAUACACAGUAGUGUGAAUUACAUUACAAUGAAGGCUUUAAUCAGACUAACAGCUAUUUUGGGUGUUUUCAGUUAUCAAAUUGAAAUCACUAGUUCCCUGAGUGCAGACAAAUCCUCUGAUUGCUUUUAAGCCAUUUUCUUACCUUAUAUAUUUAGUUGAGGUUUUCCUCAAUCACUUUUAUACUGAAUAUGGGAAUAUUGCAGUCUGCACUGUUUGCUGGCUGUACUUUAAGAGGAUGGUGGAUCUUGGGGGGGAGGGGGGAGAGGGAAGGAGAAGGAGAGAAUUUUAUGCUCUCAGCUGCUCCGCAAUUGCAUAAACUUUGCCAGCGUGAACCUCCUGGGAGAGCUGUACUAUAGGCAUUAUGACUCAGCCCUGCUCUGGAUGAAGUCACUGUCAAGUGGAAGCAAACUAUUUGUUUCUAACAACAUAUAUGGUGAAGUCCAAAUGCAAGUUCAAGACAAAGCUGUCGUUAUUUCUCCCACCCACUUUGCUAUUGUUUUGUUCAGUUCAGAUCGCAAAGGAGCUCACAAUUUAAGUGAGCGCCAGAAGGAGAGCAAACCAGCUGACAUCACCAUGUGAGCAAAAGAAGUUCCCUGCUCUCAUGGACCAGAACCCAAAGAUUUUUUUUCCCCUGACUCACUGUUACUGAGAUUUGUAACUAUCAUACAGCUCCUGCUUCCAGGGCUGGAGGAUUACAAUAUGCUAUAUAAUGACCUCUUCCCCCUUUAUUAAUCCAUUUUUAAGUAAUGGAUUUAAAAAUAGACACCCCUUUAACUUUGUAGUAACAUGACAACUGAGACCUUUGCAUCUCUUUUUGAGGCUGUGUUUUGCUUAAAGGAAGCAGCGCUGCUCCUUGCCGGUUAGCAAGCACCUUGUCUGGCACAUCCGUAGCCACCCCACCUAAUCACAGAAGCGGAGUCCACACUGUCAACACCAGAGACGAGGCACAAAGACUAUCAAAGCACUCUUUUUUUAAACAAAGAGUUAACCUUGAAGACAAUCCUGACAUAGAUCCUUUAAAGCACAUGUGCCAUCUUUGAAACUGCAUCUAAAUUAGGACUGGCAAUUCAUGUAAUGGUUUCAAAUGCUACAAAUUUGUCUUGGAUAACAGAGUGGGAAAGAGGACGAGCAGAGAGCUGCCGGUGUCCCGCAGAGUGCAAUUUAGAGGGGCUUUAAGUAGCCUCUGUGAGUCAGGGACUUGGUGACGUUCUAGCACAGCAGUAAUAGGCUGCUCCUAUCAAGGAGAUUUAUGAAAGCAUUUUCAUUUAUAAUCACCACUGAAACAUCCUAGCAGGACUGAAUCAUAUACCAAAAUAUAGACCUGUUCUUGCUUGGAGAUAGGCUUAAGCACAUGAUUCAAUCCAUCCUUAAUCACAACGCUGGAAUUGCCAGUCCCAACUGGAGGCUGGCAGAAACAAUGUCAGUUAAUCCCCGCCUCAGAAAACCUGUCAUCGCUCACUUAUCUUGUUCCGUUGGGGUGGCUGGAAUAAGAGGCCUGCUAGAAACGCCUGACUGUUCUCUAAGGGACUCAUGCCUCUUUUGGAGAAACCAAAAUUAUAAAAGCAAAAUGAAAAAUGAGAAGUAGAAAAUUGAAAAGUUCUCAUUUAAAAACUGUGCUGUUUGUCAGGCAACCAGUUUCCAGUAAAGUAACCUUUACAAAUUUAGCACUUUUUCUUUUUAAACACUCUUGUCUUAGCAAAAAGAAAAAAUUCUGGGAGGAAGAAUCCCCCUCCCAAAGUACAGAUUAUAAUCUUCUUCACCACCAGGAACAAAUUUUCUCACUUUGUGCUUUAUCUUUAAUGCAAUGCUAAUGGUAACAAUUUCUCGCUUGGGCUAUUACACACCAGCUGGCAGAAGCACAGCACGAUGCACCCACUGGCUAAAGAAAAUCUUCACUUUCGCAUGUUAAACCUGAAGUCACAUGGUUUUAUAAUAAUCCACUGAGCAAGCAUGAGACAUUCAUCCUCAAAAUCCCACAGAAACCCUACAGUGAUUUGCUCAUCUUACACUUUAAUCUAUUAUAGAAAUUCAUCUCUACACUUUCAGUAUUUGUAUUCAAAGGGCACUGAACACCAGCAAUUAACCAAGGGGUUAUGGCACAGACCAAAACGCACCCAGUGCUAAAGGCAACACGGAGCUGAAAUUGGAUUUCCACAGAUGAAUGAUCAAACACUUUUUGAACCAGGUUUUACCCCAACACCCACAGUUUUCUCCAUAUAAUCUGCCCCAACUUAGAUAAAAGCAGACUGUUAGUUUAUGUACGUUACUGGAGGCACCAUUACCUGGCAGUAACUUCGUUUUGUGAACGUGCACGUGAUGGGCAAAGGCCUGGCCACUGGAGUUGCAGCUGAACUUAUGAAAUAGACUAAAAGCACAGUUGGUUUAUUUUGUUCUAUUUCUCCCUUUCCCUUUCUGUGCUGAGAAAAUAUACAUCACUGAAUCAGUUCUCACAAAGGACUGAAAACUGUACAGUAGCUCCAGGCUGGGUGUAAGCCCUUAGCCGAGUUUCUCUUUGGGACUGUCACACGCACAGCUUGGUAGAGAGUUCUGGAACUUAACUUUCGCUUCAUAAACUUAUGUUCAAAAACUGGUACCUCAGAAGGCAAAAAUUGUCCUGUUUUCACUCCUUCCCAUCAUCCAGAACCACUGCUUUCUUGUGAUACCCUGCCAGGCACUACAAUACAGGCAGGGAAGGUGACUUGCCCCGUGCCCCUCUCCUGUUCCCAGCCCCACAGCUCGGGGCAGUAGGGAUGGAGCUCCACCACUGCCAGCCUCAGCCUCUCAGCAGUCCCGCUCCCAAGGGUCUGAGGAAGAAACAAGUGCCAGACAGCAGCAUGAGGAGCCAGCCCCAUCCUGCCACACCUCUCAGCACAAUGCAGGACCAAACAGGCCCUGCGUGGACCUCCCUUCGACUCCAUGAAUAUCAACAGAGAUGCAAAGGUCUGUGCAAGCAGCUCCCAGCACAAGACAAAAAUUAUAACUUAAAACCACAAAAAUUAUAGCGUAAAUGACAGUUGUCCAGGUCAGGCCACAGACAUGACCCCAUAAGACUUCCCUGAGUAACAAUGUCUGAAAAACACAACUUGAGUUCUGAAUACAGCAGCCAGCCAUGGAACUUCUGAGCUGACCAGAAACAUUUACUGUAGUUUUCAUCAUCAGCUCCAACUGAAACCAAAAGUCACACCAGGCUCAGGCAGCCCACAGCUGGAAAUAGAAAGCAGUCACAUUUCUUGUCACGUACGGCUCGCUCAGGGUGAGUGUGUGAGGGCGCUGGGCUGAGCGGGCCCGAGCCACCCCACAGCAUCAGGAUCACACAGCCCCGACAGCAGCUCCACCACAGCCUCCCGGGCCUACCCCAAGAGGUCCUGCGCUGUCACGGUGCCACGUGCACAGGGGGAAGGCUCAGGGGGUUGGCACUAUUUCCUCACCGCCUGCAACUGCACCUCUCCACCCAGAGCCACAGCUGGCUGCCAGCAACAGCAGCACAAGGGAGCGGUGUACCAGGACGUCGCAACUAUGCUCCUGCCUCCAUUUGCUGGCAUGAACAGGGUAUAACGGAGGGCAGACAAUAGCCCUACUGCAAACACUAAGAUUUCAUAAUGACUCGUAUGAUGGAAACGUUACUCAAGUCCAGUUUUGGUUACCUUAUUUCAUACAUAAAAUUAAAAACAUAUAGAGACACACACAACAUUUCUCCCCACAGCACCUUGGCUCUUUUCCAAGAGCGUUUUAAACAACCUGCAAAUACUAAUAAAAAGUAACUAAAAGUAAGUGUCAAAAAAGAUACUUUUUCUUUUAUGUCUUAUCUUCCUUGCAUUUAGUUUUGUUAUUCAUUCUGGACCAUUUGCUAUUCAUGUUCAUUUGCCACUCUGCUCCAAGCAAGAAAUUAUUUUGCUUAUAAUAUGACAAAACUGCAACUUCCCUUCAAUUCUCCUUUUCUCAGAAUGCUGAGAGUGAAGUACUUCCACCUGAUAUUUAAGUGCUUAACCUCCUUUUACUUCUGUUCAUACAAAUACUCCAGGAGGAGGGCUUAAGCACAUCUAGGUUUCGAUGACAAACAAAUUAACUGUCUGGAAGGAAGUAAAUGGAAAGUCCUUAGGUAUUGCCGAGGUUUCCAUUAGGAGAUGCAGAACAACUCCAGGGUAAUUCAUUGGCAACAAAGCUGGGAGGCUGCCAGGAAUUCAGGACAUAAACCUUUAGUCCAGUUGUAUUUGCUCGCAUCAAAACAGUCUGGCUGUAUUUCUGUUAUUUUAUACGGAUUCUCAGCAAGGAAGGUACUGCGAGGGGCUAGGAAUAGGUUGGAAGUUUUCUGACUUCGAAAGGAAACCUGUGAAAAACUGCAAGGCAAUAAAGCUAUCUUUUGAAACUUCACUAGCCAAUGGUCACAGAUGAGGGUCCUGUAUUACUCAAUGCCAGAAAGUGGGGGGCACCCCUUAAACCUUGAAAAAGAUUGGAACAGUUCCUUUGCCAGCCUUCAGUCACUGCAUGAAAAAUUCAACUGCAAUUAGCAUUUAGUACAAAGCACUUUCUGUAGGCUGACAAUAGACAGUCAGACCAGAAAGUGUACAUAACAAGAACAGAAUCCUGUUUUAAAUUGCAUGGUUUUUGUUAACAAUGAAAUGAUCUCCACUUUUCCCCAGAAAAUUCAGAUACACAUAAGUCCCAUUGGUUGCUAGCGUAAAUUAAGAGCAAGAAAACAGAAGUUUGGAUUAAAAAGCAUUAGGGUAAGUUCAGGGACACGUUAAAUGGAAUUGCUUAUUUUGCUGUUCCAUUAAAUAGGCAAGCUCAAUGCAUCUGACACCCCGUCCUAUUCUUUAUGAUCACUAUUCACCAUCAAUCAUUUAAGCCGUACGUCAGACCUGCCUAAGUGAAGUGCCCACUGCUCUGAAUGACUGCGAUGCACGCUGUGCGCCACGAGGGAAACCAAAGAUAAACUAUUAUACUACUAAAUACCUCCGUGAAGAAAAAAAUAAAAUAAAUUAUCUAUGCAUUACAUAAAUUUCCAUGACAUUUCAAUUAAUCUCUUAGUACUAUUUACAGUCUGUAAACUACACAGCACAGGCGUCUGUGCCUAAGGAUAAAAUACCAGAGAAUAAAGUAUUAAUUGAGUCUUAGCUGGGAUGAUUUGACUUAAAGCAAACGUUAAAACCAAACAGCAUCACCACCUUUCACAUCUGCACGCAGAGACAAAAGUGGCUGAUAAUUGAUGCAAUAAAAAAGCAGCUUUACAAUCUUUGUCACAAGUUCUCAUUAAUUCUCUACCACUCCCUUUUCCCGUGCAUAUUUGCCUUUCAGCAGUAGAGUAGAACAGCAAGUAAAAGCACUGGUGGCAUCGUGUGCAGCCACCCAGUUCCGAAAAGAAUUUCAGAGUUAA
Molecule: non-coding RNA, 10967 nt
Organism: Anas platyrhynchos (mallard)
Lineage: Eukaryota; Metazoa; Chordata; Aves; Anseriformes; Anatidae
Source: RefSeq, a predicted model, not a curated record